CCUACGGGUGGCAGCAGUGAGGAAUAUUGGUCAAUGGGCGCAAGCCUGAACCAGCCAAGUCGCGUGAGGGAAGACGGCCCUACGGGUUGUAAACCUCUUUUGCCGGGGAGCAAGCCUGAGCACGUGUGCCCAGGCGGAGAGUACCCGGAGAAAAAGCAUCGGCUAACUCCGUGCCAGCAGCCGCGGUAAUACGGAGGAUGCGAGCGUUAUCCGGAUUUAUUGGGUUUAAAGGGAGCGUAGGCCGCAUGUCAAGCGUGCUGUGAAAUGUCCGGGCUCAACCCGGGCCUUGCAGCGCGAACUGGCGUGCUUGAGUCCGCGGAAAGCAGGCGGAAUUCGUCGUGUAGCGGUGAAAUGCUUAGAUAUGACGAAGAACCCCGAUUGCGAAGGCAGCUUGCUGCAGCGGAACUGACGCUGAUGCUCGAAAGCGCGGGUAUCGAACAGGAUUAGAUACCCUUGUAGUC
Molecule: ribosomal RNA, 461 nt
Filed under: uncultured bacterium
Lineage: Bacteria
Description: partial 16S ribosomal RNA
Rfam family: Bacterial small subunit ribosomal RNA
Source: RNAcentral